This is a non-coding RNA of Nothobranchius furzeri (turquoise killifish), 3435 nucleotides long. NCBI's taxonomy places the organism in Eukaryota, Metazoa, Chordata, Actinopteri, Cyprinodontiformes, Nothobranchiidae. The record is from RefSeq and is a predicted model, not a curated record.
UUUCUAACAAAAGGCGCAGCUGAUGACUAAUGAUGGUCUAUUUGCCAAGUUGCUCAGACUGAAAUAACUCUUAAUAGCUGUAUCGUUCCUGUAAGUGAAAUUAGAGCACAUCGCUGUCCUGAUUGGAGGUGGUUGCGGUGUAUGAGCUGCUGGUGCCUGCAGGCAGUCAUCGGUUGCCCUGGAAACACAGAUGGUGGAUAAAGAAGGGGGCACAUACAAAAGACCAUAAAACCUGUGGCAGCAGCUGGAGACCGAGACAGACGAUUACUUCAGAAUUCUGCAGCCCCCGCUCAUUCAAAGAAGCCCCUGUUCUCAUUAAAACCUGCAGUUGGUUUUCUUUUUGUCCCGGGUUUCUGCCUCCACUCUACCUUGCUUUUCCUGGACUGGAUGCUCUCUCUUUAGUGCGCAGCUGCUGCUGGCACACCCACAUCUGCUUGUUUCAGCUCGGCAGCCAUGUACGUUUCAGCCGUUUUAACAGCCUUGUGUCCGAGCUUUAUAAAUACUGCAGGGGAAAAAUCACUGCAAUCCUCUGGCAGAUCAGCACGUAAAGAGAAGAGGAACCCAAAAAAGGCUGCUGAGGAAAUCUCCACCUUAUAUGAUUCUGCAGGACAGCUGGAAACCUGAAGAGCUCUGGAAAACCUGUGGUCAGUGUUGCAAGGGCUGGGCUCAUCUGACACGACACCAUUCAGGAUGCUGGAGGAUCCCAGGAGCAGGACAGGUUAUGUGUCAUCUCUGUUAAAACCAGCUAAGAAUUUCUCAUAUUUGAUCGGUCAGGUUAUUUUCACAUCUUUGUCGACAUUCUCCAGCUGUCCUGCUCGAUUUGGAUAUGAUGAAACAAUUUACAGAGAAGCUGUAAAUUGCUUGAAGAGGCAUAGCCGGAUCCCUCGGGGCUUCUUGGUAGGACAGUUGGGUUGUGUCCCACUUUUCUGCUGCUUUGUGUUCUGUGUUCCUCUCCAGUUCCACCGAUGAAACAGCAGACGGGGUGGUGAUGGGACCUUAUUGUACCCCUGCUGGCACUGCUCCAUCUCCAGACUGACACAGGAUCAGUCAGCUCUACAGUACUGAGACUUUUUUACUUCCCUCUCAUCUACUUUAAACCUCAGUCUGUGGCUUUCUGCACACAGAACACAUUCUUCUGGACUUCCAUGUUUGACUGCAGCCUCUGGGCUGUUUGCGAGAUGAAUCAGAGAUUAGUAAUGUGUUAAUGUGCUGCUGUCCUCUUUAGGAUUACCGGGGAGAUAAACGGCAUCAAAGUGCAGAUCGUGACCAAAUCCAAGUGUCAUAAUCUGCUUCUAAAAUGAAUUUAUUUAACAUUUUGUAGGAUUAUGCUUGAAAAUGGAUAUCUGUGCAUUUUUCUUCUUUAUUUCAUCUGAACCCUUUCUCUUGCAGUCACGGACAUUCCUGCUGUUCUGCACCUUCGGAGGGAAAAUGUCCACGCUGCAGCUGUUCCUCUCCGAGAACCAGUGUUUACUUCUUCAGUGCACCAACGAAAGUGAUAAUAAGACUCUGUUUAAUCAGAUUUAGUGUUUGUGUGGGUCGUGCACAUCUCUAAGGUGCCUUUAUUCUCCAGUCACUUUUUCUUCGAGUCUGGUCUCUUUUUUUUCUGCACAAGAUGUAAUUCACUAUAUGAGGCGCUUUACCAGUGUCAUUCUGGGAGUCUCUCCAUUAAAACUGACAUGCAAAGCUGUUAUAUUUUAGGCCUAAAGGGAUGAAAACAUGAUGUGCUAGAGUGAGUGAAAGGCUGGUUUUCUCACCUUCAAAAAACGUGCAAUUCACAUGUUUAAUUUUUUUUAACUUGUUUGUUGUGAAACCGGUAAAGUUUGAUGUGUAACAAACUAAUUUAACUUCACAUUCUGUAGUGUGUGUGUGUGUGUGUGUGUGUGUGUGUGUGUGUGUGGGGGGGGGGGUGCAUGCAAUCCUUUGCAUGUGCUCUAUCUGUAGAUGUGUUUACACCAGCCAGCGUGUGCAUGUGUCUCCUGUAAUGGGCCUGAAGCUGGAGCCACGAGUGGUUCUAGUCCCUGGAUGUUCCAGAGAAAAGGGAUAAAACAUUAUUUACUGAUGGUUCUUAGCAUUUGUUACAGCCUCGUUAAAGCAGCAGUGGCACUUGUGAUUUAGAUCAGUGGGAAUUAGUGUGGUGCCGUUUGCUGAAUGAUGCCUGCUGGCAUAAACCAAACACUCUCGCCGCCAGCAGCUCCAUCAUUUAACACUUAAGCAAAUUGCAGCAAAUGCUAAUAAUUAUGUGUAAAUAGCCUUUUAUCCAGGUCUGGACUGCACUAACAGUAUCUAACUAAUAUCUAACAGUACUAAUGUCUGCUAACGUUUGGGAUAUUACUAACCUGUGUGGAGAAUGCUGAUGGCUCGUGUUUCUAACCCACUUACUAACCCCCUGCUUUACGCCACCAGUCUGAGGCGCUCGCUCCUCUCACUCCAUCCUGCAAUCCUUCUUUAAAGGUGUCCGAAUCAGAACAGUCGCUCAAGGAAACGUAUUUUAAAUCAUAAUAGUAAAUGAGCAUGUGAGGAAGGCUUUCAGGAGCUGGAGGAGACCAGAGGAUAAAAAGAGCCACACGUUAGAGAAGUGUGUUUAGUGUGGUCAGCCUCUUGUCAGCGAGCAUUACACCAACCUCAGCUCCACUACUAACACGAGUAAUGUUGAUGCUAACGACGACGAGGCGGCGACACUCCUCCUACUAACACCUUUGUUGUUUCACCGAGACAGAUCCGAGCAUGCCUCAUGGUCCUGCUGAUGUGUUCUAGUCCCCGUCACGUGGAAGCUUUUAACCCUGGCCAAAACAUCUGGUCUCUGCACCAACCCUCACUAACCCCAGGAGCUCUGGAAGCUCUGGAAACUAACAAACUAACCCACUAAUAAACUAAUCUUCUAACAGAAACUAACUCAGACCGGCGAAUCUUCCUUGAAUUGGGGUUUGAAGAGAUAACUGAGUGUGUUUGAGGUGUGUGGGCGUGUGUGUGUGUGUGUGUUUAUGCAGACACAGCAGGAAGAGAUUGUUGGAGAUUAGCUGGAGCCUCCAGGCCCGGAGACAUGCUUAGAGGAGUGCAGGACUAGAAGAAAAAGAUGAAAAAAGGGAGGAUAGGAAAUGGGAAAUAAAAACAAUCAGGUGUUCAGGACAGGGUGGGUGGGGGCUAGAAGAUUAGCUUAGCUCAUCAGGUGAAGCUGGCUUCAGCUGACAUGUAAGAAACAACCAGUGACAUGUUUAUUUAUUUAUUUUUUUUUACAUUUUUUUGGAAAACAAGCGUUCCAGGUUGUGUUUGUUCAUACGACUGGAGGAAAGAUGGCAGCCAUCCAUCUAGUCAAGGAGCCACCAGAGCUUGUGUGACAUAUGUGUGUUCAGAAUCCUGGAUGUUGUGUAAAAUUUUCUAAACUUUAUUCUUUUUUGUUAGGAGCUGUUCUCAGAAAUAAAAUUAUUUUUUGUGUCA